This is a long non-coding RNA of Lotus japonicus, 457 nucleotides long. RefSeq lists it as uncharacterized. The record is from RefSeq and is a predicted model, not a curated record. NCBI's taxonomy places the organism in Eukaryota, Viridiplantae, Streptophyta, Magnoliopsida, Fabales, Fabaceae. The transcript has 3 exons.
UGGGAGAAAGUUGAAGACAAAUAUACAGUGAGUUCACUAGGUGUAGCUGGUUUUGUUGCAUUAUGGGGCUCAGCUGGGGUGAUCUCAGCAAUUGAUAGGAUUCCAUUAGUUCCUGGGGUACUUGAGGUUGUAGGCAUUGACUACACUGGGUGGUUUGCUUACAAGAACCUAGUUUUCAAGCCUGACCGGUAGGCUCAAUAAUUACAGGGAAGCUCUGUUUCGGAAAGUAAAAGAAACAAUUAACGAAAUAACUGGGAGCAGCUGAGAGAGUGAGAAAUUGCUGCUGAUUGAGAUGGUGUUCACAUAAAAAGAGAUCUAAUUGCAGCUUUGUGUUGAAGAUGCCAUGCAACCAUGCUUCAUUUAGUCCAAUAAACUUCUGACCACACUUUAUCCCAUGUAAUUGUAAUCUAGCUUCAUGCAUAUAUAAUCUCCUUCAAUAAAAUGUCAUUUCUUCGAU